AGUGAACGCUGGCGGUAGGCCUAACACAUGCCAGUCGAACGGCAGCACAGUAAGAGCUUGCUCUUACGGGUGGCGAGUGGCGGACGGGUGAGGAAUACAUCGGAAUCUACUUUUUCGUGGGGGAUAACGUAGGGAAACUUACGCUAAUACCGCAUACGACCUACGGGUGAAAGCAGGGGAUCUUCGGACCUUGCGCGAUUGAAUGAGCCGAUGUCGGAUUAGCUAGUUGGCGGGGUAAAGGCCCACCAAGGCGACGAUCCGUAGCUGGUCUGAGAGGAUGAUCAGCCACACUGGAACUGAGACACGGUCCAGACUCCUACGGGAGGCAGCAGUGGGGAAUAUUGGACAAUGGGCGCAAGCCUGAUCCAGCCAUACCGCGUGGGUGAAGAAGGCCUUCGGGCUGUAAAGCCCUUUUGUUGGGAAAGAAAAGCAGCAGGUUAAUACCCCGCUGUUCUGACGGUACCCAAAGAAUAAGCACCGGCUAACUUCGU
This 491-nucleotide ribosomal RNA is filed under the name uncultured bacterium. RNAcentral's name for it is "partial 16S ribosomal RNA". It matches the Rfam family "Bacterial small subunit ribosomal RNA", at positions 29 to 506 of the family's 1533-position model. The record is from RNAcentral.